UUUUGCAAAUUUGGGAGGGGGUUCUUGCCAAUAUAUUGAAGAAACUGUCAGGAAAUUCUAAAUAUUCUAAAAUGUCCAAGUAUAGUAACCCCAAAAGAUUUAAAAAAAAAAAAACACUCUGAAAUUAAUUUUUAAUUUGAGAAUGAACUGUGGAAUAAAAAACCGCGCCAAUCACCCAACCGUUGGAAACUGUAAGCAACCGCUCUCGAAAAUCCGACGGUAUCCAACGGCUUAAAUGCUCUCAUCAAAACAUUGAUCAACUGCCUUAUAAAGCUGGUCUGGUAUUAAAGUUCCUUCAAAUUCUCUUUCAGUCAUGGCACUCCAGGUCCAUUUUCUCUUACUCAUUUCUCUCUUCACUCUCCCCUUCUCAACCUCUGCAGUGCCGUUAUUCGCUUUCAGUUGGUUGGACGACAAGAACAAAUUUCUAGCAGGCGAUAAAGCAGCCGUAAGGAUCAUAGUGCUAGGAAAUUUUGACAGCCAAGGAAAUGCUUCACUUGAAAAAAGUUCUUUCAAGCCUUCACUCAUAAUAAACGAGAAGGUGGGAAAUAGUUGUUACAUUUCUGGGGUUGUGCUAGAGACCAGUGGAGAUACUAGCAAUUGGAGAAUUAUAUUCACGCCAAUCCUGGUUGGUUUGUUUAAUUUGUUAGUCCUUGAUGAACCUUUCAAAGUAUUGGAUUCCUCUCUUCAUUUCUAUGUUGAUCCAGGGAAAAUGCAUCCAUCUGUCUCUGUUGUUUCAUGGAUGGGUGGUGUGAAUGAGUUUGAAGCGGGGACAAAAGCCACCCUUUUGAUUCUUCCUAAAGAUGCAUUUGGAAAUAAUGUUUCUUCGACAAGCAAAGAACCAAGUUCUUUUAAUUUCAUAGUGUCUGUAUGUCAGGCAAAUGGUUCCUUUAUUAACAUGCCAAAUGUUACUAACGUGGGUUGGAAUGAAGCUGGUUACAUCGUCUUAGAGUUUAUUGCUAGUAUAGCCGGGGACCUUUCAUUGCGCAUUGAAGGGGGAAAUCAAACAUUGAAUGGCUCUCCACUACCAUUCAAGGUCAAUCCAGGAGCACUGGACAUUUCCAGUUGUGAGGCCAAAUUGAAAUAUGAAGUGUCUGCCUGGCAGAUUUUUUCCAAGAUGGAAGUAUUUAUACACCAGCAUGAUCAAUAUAGGAACCUUGUUCCAGGAUUGUAUGCCUUUGAUGCUGAUAUUGUUGAGAAAGAGACAAAUUUGUCUAUACCAGUUGUAGAUUUUCACUUUGAAGAAGUGGUUCCAGGAAUUCAGUUGCUUUCUUUUACCAUACAGGAAUCUGGAAACUUCUUGCUCACAAUAUCUGAUAUGAAGCAUAGUAUAAGCAUCUCCAACAUGCCUUUUGCUUAUUCUGUCUUUGUAGGAUAUUGUGAUGGAUUAAGCAGUGUUGUCAACGGCUCUGGUUUAAAUGGUUCCAUUGCUGGGGAAAUUGCAGUCUUCUCAGUUUAUUUGAAUGACAAUUUUCAAUUCCCAUCUCCAGUUGAAAUAGAAAUGCUUAAAGUACAAAUUAUAAGGGAAAACGACUCUUAUCAAAUACGGCCAAGUAUAUUACCCACACAGAUUGUUAAUGGGAGUGGAUCUACUGAAAAGCUGAGUAAUGGUUCUAUUGAUCAGUUAGAAAUUGCUCUGGCACCCUCUAUUGAUCAGACUAACACUUCUUCAGAGAACUCAAAAGUUCUGGCCAGUGCUUUUGAUGUUACUUAUAUUCCUGAAAGGAGUGGUACUUAUAAUACUCUGGUACUCUGUGGAAAUAUUGUUUUAAAUGGUGGUUAUCCAUUCAGAAUGGAAGUCAAAGCAGGAGAUGUGAAUAUGUCACUCUCGGGAGUUGUGAAGUUUAGUCCUAAGGUGCCAAUGCUGAUUACACAUGAGGUAGUGGUCCAGCUACAGGAUUCAAUUUCCAAUCCUGUCUUGUCACAACAGUCGAGGCUGAAACUGGAGAUUACUUCAAUAAACAAUUCUGGCUUUUCAAGUUGGAUGUUCGUGGAUAACAAUGAUGGUUCAUACAGCGUUCGAUAUCUGGCUAUGGAAGUAGGUACCUACGAGAUGUGUGUUUCGUUGGAUGGCAGAUGUUUCUCACCUUUCCAGGUUCAUGUGUACAGCAGUCAAUAUUUUCCUAAAGCAUAUGAUGAUAUAUUGUCUGUUUGGGAGGAUGAGUCGAUUGCUUUUGAUGCUUUGGCUAAUGACUACUAUGCCGGGGAUCAGGCAAACCUUGUUGAAUUCUCCAACCCUGGUUUUGGUUCACUUCUACAGUUUGGGCAGAUCUUCAGAUAUACCCCUUACAAAGAUUAUAUUGGGAAUGAUUCUUUUUCAUACACAAUAUCUGAUGUCAAUGGUAACCUUGCCACUGCUGCUGUCAACAUUUCUGUUCUCAGUAUCCCACCACAGUUUGUUUCCUUUCCUACUCAAUUGCUAGCAACUGAAGACUUGAUGAGUCCCAGGAUCGGUGGUUUCACUGGGUUAGGGAUUAGAUAUUCAGAAUUGAAGGAGAACAUUUCUGUCACUCUCAGUGCAAAGUCUGGGACUGUAUUCUUGUCUUCUUUGCUAAUGCAGUUUUGGCAACCAUCAAUGUGGAGUGGACUUUCUGUAAGGAAUGGCAAUGAAACCGUGAAGGAUUUGAUCUUAGAAGGCAGUAUAGAUGUCAUCAAUUUUACCCUUCAGUCAAUCCAAUAUCUUGGAAAUGAAAACUUUUAUGGGGAGGAUACCAUUCGAAUAUCUGCCAGAAACAGAAACGGGAAAAAUGAUUUGGAUAUUCCAAUUUCUGUGGAGCCUGUUAAUGAUCCUCCAUUCAUUCAAGUCCCCGAAUACAUUGUUCUAAAUGCUACUGGAGAUGAGUCACUGAUAUUCAACAGAGAAAGAGACAAGUUCGAUUUCAGCAUUGGGGAUCCAGAUAUGCAUAAGUAUCCAGGCGGUCCAUCUCGCUUCGUGGUGGCAUUUUCCAUGGAAGUUAGUGAUGGAUUAUUGCUAUCCAGUCUACCAGCUGAGCUCAUCAGUGUAACUGAAGUGAAGCUAAAGGACAGUUAUCUAUGGCAACCCGUUCAGACCUAUGUCACCAUUUCAAAACAUUUUAUGGUCCAAGCCAGUGGAAUUAGAUUUCAGGCAUCAAUAAAUGACUGCAAAACUGUAAUGCAACAGCUCUUUUAUCAUGGUCAGGAACAUAACACCCUUUUGACACUGAAGGUGAACGACAUGGGGCGUUAUGGUUGUUAUCCAGACUGCGCUGAAAAGUUCUUUGUGCCUCUAUCUGCAGAGGCUAAUGUAACUUUGAUCAGAAAAAGGCCAAUGAGUUCAUUGGCAGCUCAUACCUUAGGAUCAGCUAUAAUCAUUGAAUUCAUUAUGGUGCUUUCUCUUGGAGUUGUACUUCUUCUCUUCACUUGCAAAUGUGCAAUUCUUCUGGUGAAUGAGAGAAGACAUGGUGAUGCCAAAAACUCAAAGCUUUCCAGGAUGCAGAGUUCGAAUACACAAACUGCUGCUCUGGCCAGUUGAAGGAAGCAGACUGAAACAUCUUCAACAAUUGCUUUGAGUCCAUAUUACUUAAACACUUCAUAAUGCAACGUUAACCAUUCUUUAAGGGUCAGCUGUUGAAUUACGAUCAUCGACGACAUUUCUGAA
Molecule: RNA transcript, 3616 nt
Organism: Mangifera indica (mango)
Lineage: Eukaryota; Viridiplantae; Streptophyta; Magnoliopsida; Sapindales; Anacardiaceae
Gene name: protein GAMETE EXPRESSED 2-like
Exons: 17
Source: RefSeq, a predicted model, not a curated record